UAUCAAGACAAAACACUUCAUAAAUUGGUCCUAGUUGGUCUUUGUCUUAUCCAAGACAUCACAACUUUCCAGUUUCAAAUGUGCAAGAAUAAGAAAACCUUUUUCCAAAUUCUACAUUUGAUGAAUGUUAUAAACCUUCUUAAGACUUGUCACUCAAUGUCACAAUCUUAACUUUAAGACUUGUUUUGGAACGAAGUAUGAUUGACUUCUUGAUUUAACCAUUUCUUCAAUUCUUGAUUUCUCUUCUCAGACAUACAAUUGUACUAAGACUCACUUAGAGGAUCAAUUGAGAUAUGGUUCUUAAUCAUUAAGACCUAUCAUAAAACAUAAUAAAAGGUACUCUCCCUUCUUCUUAGAAUAGAGAAACUUUUAUCUUUCUGCCUACUUGAUUCUUCUUAUUCGUUCNCUCUUUCAAUCAACUAAGAAUUACACUUAAUCUCAUAAGUGUAAUCAUAUUUACUUAACCUUAGUAAAUCAUGACGAAUAUCUUUGUUACUCUUGUGGUGGACUUGAUCAAUACACAACCUUGUGUACUCUAUCUCCUAGUCCUUCACUUGACAUUUUGUCAACGAAUUAGUCUAAUUUUCCCAAAUGUGAAAGUUUUUCAUUAAUCAUACAAUACUUGUUGCAUGAUUCCAAGUUUCUGUCCACUUGAAACUUGGGCGAUGAGAAACUUUCCCUAUUAGGUAAAANUUCUUAGAAUAGAGAAACUUUUAUCCUUCUGCCUUCUUGAUUCUUCUCAUUCGUUCUGCUUAUUGAUUUAAGCUCUUUCAAUCAACUAAGAAUUACACUUAAUCUCAUAAGUGUAAUCAUAUUUACUUAACCUUAGUAAAUCAUGACGAAUAUCUUUGUUACUCUUGUGGUGGACUUGAUCAAUACACAACCUUGUGUACUCUAUCUCCUAGUCCUUCACUUGACAUUUUGUCAACGAAUUAGUCUAAUUUUCCCAAAUGUGAAAGUUUUUCAUUAAUCAUACAAUACUUGUUGCAUGAUUC
RNAcentral lists this long non-coding RNA (995 nucleotides) under Lactuca sativa (garden lettuce). RNAcentral describes it as "long non-coding RNA (LSAT_LNC008317)". The record is from RNAcentral. Lineage: Eukaryota; Viridiplantae; Streptophyta; Magnoliopsida; Asterales; Asteraceae.